CGCGGCGGCACGCUUAACACAUGCAAGUCGAACGCAGUAGCAAUACUGAGUGGCGAACGGGUGAGUAUAAUGUGGGUAUCUGCCUUUUGGUUUGGAAUAACACGAGGAAACUUGUGCUAAUACCGAAUAAGCCCUUACGGGGAAAGUUUUAACGCCGAAAGAUGAGCCCGCACUUGAUUAGCUAGUUGGUAAGGUAAUGGCUUACCAAGGCUACGAUCAAUAGCUGAUCUGAGAGGAUGAUCAGCCACAUUGGGACUGAGACACGGCCCAAACUCCUACGGGAGGCAGCAGUGGGGAAUCUUGCACAAUGGGGGAAACCCUGAUGCAGCGAUGCCGCGUGAGUGAAGAAGGCCUUUGGGUUGUAAAGCUCUUUCGUCGGGGAAGAAAAUGACUGUACCCGAAUAAGAAGGUCCGGCUAACUUCGUGCCAGCAGCCGCGGUAAUACGAAGGGACCUAGCGUAGUUCGGAAUUACUGGGCUUAAAGAGCACGUAGGUGGUUGAGAAAGUUGGUGGUGAAAUCCCAAGGCUUAACCUUGGAACUGCCAUCAAAACUUUUUAACUAGAGUAUGAUAGAGGUAAGCGGAAUUUCUAGUGUAGAGGUGAAAUUCGUAGAUAUUAGAAAGAACACCAAUUGCGAAGGCAGCUUUCUGGAUCAUUACUGACACUGAGGUGCGAAAGCAUGGGUAGCGAAGAGGAUUAGAUACCCUCGUAGUCCAUGCUGUAAACGAUGUGUGCUAGACGUUGGGAAUUUAUUUCUCAGUGUCGCAGCAAAAGCGUUAAGCACACCGA
This 789-nucleotide ribosomal RNA is filed under the name alpha proteobacterium SCGC AAA003-M14. RNAcentral's name for it is "SSU rRNA". It matches the Rfam family "Bacterial small subunit ribosomal RNA", at positions 34 to 872 of the family's 1533-position model. Lineage: Bacteria; Pseudomonadati; Pseudomonadota; Alphaproteobacteria. The record is from RNAcentral.